Molecule: long non-coding RNA, 1547 nt
Organism: Macaca fascicularis (crab-eating macaque)
Lineage: Eukaryota; Metazoa; Chordata; Mammalia; Primates; Cercopithecidae
Source: Ensembl
UUUUUUUUUGAUACAGAGUCACACUCUGUCAGCCAGGCUGUAGUGCAGUGACACUGUCAUGGCUCCCUGCAGCCUUGACCUCCCAGAUUUAAGCAAUCCUUCCACCUCAGCCUCCUGAGUAGCUGGGACCACAGGUACAUGCCACCACGCUUGGCUAAUUUCUUUUUUCUUUUUUUUGUAGAAUUUGCGGUGGGGGAGGUGGUCUCUGUAUGUUGCCCAGGCUGGUCUUGAACUCCUGAACACAAGUGAUGCCCCCACCUCCGUGUGAGCCACUGCACCUGGCCUAGUGAGUACUCUUGAUCAGAACCAAGCUGCCCAAGGAGGGUGUAGGUAAAGAGGGAAACAGUGGGUUAGCAGCCAGAAGAAAAAUCCAAGCAGGACAGCACUGACUUUGAUUUGAUAAGAUGAUUCCGAAGGUACCCAGUGGAGUGGAGUAACAUAGUCAAGCAGGAGAAAUGGCUGCAGCUCAUUCAACACCAGCCUCUAGUGGAGAUUGGGGGUAGAUAUAAAGAACAAUGUUGCAAACUGCAAAGCCUAGAGGUCUGGUCAUGAGAUGUGGAUGGGAUUCUGGGGAAGGGAAGGAUAUGCUCAACUGUCAGGCAGGCUGCAGAGAAGGAAGCUGCUGUCUUUGGCAGCUGACGGGGUGUGAUGAAAACUGGAGAGGCGGCAUGGAUUACCGAGGCUGCAGGCUUGCGGAAGCGGUGGGGACUGGAAAAGCUCACCAGGACAGAGAAGUUGGGCAACAGGCAAGGCUGGUUGAGGGAAGGGUGGGGAGUUUGAGGUCUCAGACCUAUUUGUAUUUGGUUGGCAAUGUCCUGCAGCCCUUGGUGCGUGACUUACAGAAGAGGGAAGGCCCGGAUGUGUCUUGGGCUAGGAGGGUGGUGGGAGGCAGUUCUAGGCCAUGCAAGGUGCAUGGAGGAGCCCUGAGCUGUUCUCUAUCCAACAAGAAAGACAAGCGCUCCCCUUAGCAAUGUGUAAGUCAGAGAAGGACCUUCUCAGUUCCCUGUCUCUCCAUCUCUGAGCUUGGAAAGUUAAGAACACAGAGCUGGGACACCACUGUCUCAGCUCACAUUCGUUUUAUGUAUAAUGUGACAUUUGCCUUUAAAUUAUCUUUAAAGCACUGACAAAGUAGCAUAGUUUACUCACCUGAAAAGAGUUUGGGAUUUGGAGAAUCACAAACUUGUAUUAAAAUCCUAGGUCUAGAAAGAAAAUGUGGUCUAUCCAUACAAUGGAGUAUAAUUCAGCCUUAAAAAAACAGGAAACUCUGACAUGUGCUAUAACAUGGAUGGAUCUUGUGGAUGUUAUGCUGAGUGAAAUAAGCGAGUCACAGAAAGACAAAUGCUCAUAAUUCCACUUAGACAAGGUACCUAGGGCAAUCCAAUUCAUGGAAACAUAAAGUGGAAUGGUGGUUGCCAGGAACUGGGAAAAAAAAGAAAGGAGGAGUUGUGGUUUAAUGGUACAGUUUCAGUUUUGCAAGACGAAAAAGUUCUGGCAAUUGUUGCACAAUAUGCAUAUAGUUAACACUGUUGUAUUGUACCCUUGAAAAC